CACCAGUUUAAUGAAUCCAAGAACAGUGUAUCAACCCUCAAGUCGACAACGCUUGAGUUUUGAGAAAAGUGCAUAACGUAAUCCCAGUCAAGUGUUUUGAGAAGGCUAACCUUUGUCACCACUGCUGCUGCUUCCUAUUUUCUCUUAACCGCUGACUAUGGCUCUCAACCCAAUGCUCUCGACCCUGUAAGUUCCAUUUUUUUUUUACCUCAAAGAAACAUUUUUUCUAUGAUUUCUUCGCUACCCAACACAGAUUCACUAUUAUAUUUUUAAAUUCCCAAGUGGGUUUUCUGUUUCUCGUUACUAACACCUUUUUUAAGUUGAUUUUGUUUGUUAUUAUUAUUUGUUGCAAUUUUGAAGUAUCGUCUUUCAUUGGUUUGAAGUUGGCUCUGCCUAUUGGGUUUCAUUCUAUUUGCAAGUUUGAUUUUCGAGGGGAAUUCUGUGGUGUUGGAACCCCUUUGGUGAUUGUUAAAUGGAGUAGAACUAAACUUAGAUUCUAGUAGUGAAUGGUGUAGGUAACAUUAUAAAAGGGUUUGUGAAUAUGUCAACCAAUCACCAUGUAACUUGGUUAUUGAGGAUGGUUCCUAUCUUCAAAACUAUUUACAUCAUCAAUAAUUUCAUCUUGGCAACUACAUACUUGUAUGUAGGGACCAUGUUUUAAUUAUAUAGCUCGAAUAGAAAGAGAAUGGAGUCAACAGAAAGAGAGUAGGGAUCUCAUGGUAAAUAAUUCAUCUCUAAAGAUUUGGUCUUACCAAGCCGAAUGGCAUCAGGUGAUUCAUGUAGUUGACCAAACUCUGUGGGAUGAGAAUUUUGUUGUUGUUGAUAUGAUUGGCUAAAUUGCAGGCAUAGCAGCUUGGGUUGGAUUGACCUUGGGAAGUGGGAACAAACAUUCCUGAGAGACUUGGUAGCCACUUUAGUUAUAGCUCUUGGGCAAUUUUGGAUCCAUUGGUAGCAUUUGGUAGAUUUGUUAAAACAAGAUGGAACAUAGUGUAUGAGUCGGCUUCUAUCGUGCAUUUCAAAAAUAGAAUAGAACUGCUUGAGGAGUUGAAAGUAGGCAUAUUUUGGUUUCCCUAAAAAGGGUGGAACCAAGGAGUAGAGAACAUCCUUGUUCUAUUCUGUUCAAUUCCAUGCUACCUUAAUUUGACGAGAACAGUAAAAGGAAAACACAGACCUGAUGCCUGGCAUUAUGCUGUCCUCUAGAAAUUGCAUUAGGAAGUAAGAUUAUAAGAAUAUGGCAUAGUACUUGAUCUGGAAUUGCAUUAACUUUACUGUAACAACACCAAAGAUACAAAAUUGAAAGCUUUGGAAAAGCUAAAGGACCAUUUAGUUUGAGAAAGUGUUUUCGAUUUUUCACUUUUAAUUAUAAAAAUGCCACAUUGUUUUCAUUUUGUUUUCAAUUUUCAAAUAUUUUCAUCUUGUUUGAGAAAAAAAGUUUUUUUCACCAUUUCCUAUACAAAGUUUUGAAAAUAGGAAAUAGAUUGAAAAUAGUGUGACAUUUUUAUAAUUUAAAGUAAAACCAGAGAAUGAAAAGAAAAAAUAUUUUCUCAUACCAAACAGCCCUUAAAAAUCUUUUAGAAAAAAUACUGACUUAAAGUGCGGAUAGGAUGCUCUUAGAAGUAUGCAAAUUGUGUUUACUUAGAUGAUGGAAGCUAGAGGUAUUUAAUUGGAAUAUUCAUUUCUUCUGUCUCAGAUCAAGCUGAUAGGUAUUAUGUGGAUAUAUGGCAAUGGUUAGAGAACAAUAUCCUAAUUUAUGUUUAUUUCCCUUUAUAUUGUUCUGUUCGUGAGGGUUUCUUGACUUGGCAUUAACUCUUCUGUUUUUCAUGUACAAUGUUUAUGAAACAAAAAGAUUUUUCUCAUUUACAAUAUGACUGCAUUUACAUUAGUUUGUCUCUUGUAAAUUUGAAAAUUAGAUCUUGAGAAAUGGCACAAAGCAGGUUUCGUGGGCUUGCAUUCCUGUAUGGCAGAAUUGUGAGCCGUGAUAUAUGCCCCAAGUAGUAGUUUCCUUGGUGGAUUAAAACCUGUAGCCAUACAAUUGCCAAUGAAUAGGUGCCCUUCACAAUUAGAAAGCUCAUGCUUCACUUGCAAGACUGUCUGAAUGAUUGGCCUGAUGUAUCCAAGCAAAGACAAGUUUAGCUUUGUUUCAGGCACCAUUGCAGAUUAAGAAGCAAAAACUUUCUGCACAGAGUACUGUGAAAGAGUAUAUUUGGGGAUCAAAGAAAGAGUCUCAAGAAAAUCAUGUGGGGAAAUUGGACAGCAACUAAGAAAAUCCAUAAAUUUAUGGUAGUCUUUAAAGGAACAUCAUGCUGAGUCAAGGUUUUCUUUUAGCAGUUUGAACUGUAGUGUAAUGGAAUGGUGCAAUGAAUAGAGGCGGAGAACGAAGAACCGGUAGAUUUAUUUGUCAGCAUUAUCAUUGUCAUUAAUAAGACCAUUACAUCAUAAUCAUGUUUCAGCUGCUGCUCUCUACCCCCACAACCCUUUAUCUUAUGCAUCUGCAUCUGUAUUGUUUUUCUUUCCUUUGUUUUUCUUUUAUCUGGAUUUGAGAUACAAAUGUAAUUGAGAAGGGUGUUUUGCACAUCAAAUAAGCACUUGCAUUAGUCAAAUCCGAGGUUCUAUUGUUAAAA
This is a long non-coding RNA of Glycine soja, 2621 nucleotides long. RefSeq lists it as uncharacterized. The record is from RefSeq and is a predicted model, not a curated record. NCBI's taxonomy places the organism in Eukaryota, Viridiplantae, Streptophyta, Magnoliopsida, Fabales, Fabaceae. The transcript is spliced from 2 exons.